UUGAACGCUGGCGGCAGGCCUAACACAUGCAAGUCGAGCGGCAGCGCGGGGCAACCUGGCGGCGAGCGGCGGACGGGUGAGUAACGCGUAGGAAUCUACCCAGUAGCGGGGGAUAGCCCGGGGAAACUCGGAUUAAUACCGCAUACGCCCUAAGGGGGAAAGCAGGGGAUCGUAAGACCUUGCACUAUUGGAAGAGCCUGCGUUGGAUUAGCUAGUGGGUAGGGUAAAGGCCUACCAAGGCGACGAUCCAUAACUGGUCUGAGAGGAUGAUCAGUCACACCGGAACUGAGACACGGUCCGGACUCCUACGGGAGGCAGCAGUGGGGAAGAUUGGACAAUGGGGGCAACCCUGAUCCAGCCAUGCCGCGUGUGUGAAGAAGGCCUUCGGGUUGUAAAGCACUUUAAGUGGGGAGGAAGGGGUGAUUGCUAAUAACAAUCAUCAUUGACGCUACCCACAGAAUAAGCACCGGCUAACUCUGUGCCAGCCGCCGCCGUAA
Molecule: ribosomal RNA, 497 nt
Filed under: uncultured bacterium
Lineage: Bacteria
Description: partial 16S ribosomal RNA
Rfam family: Bacterial small subunit ribosomal RNA
Source: RNAcentral